This 62-nucleotide transfer RNA is filed under the name Dipodomys ordii (Ord's kangaroo rat). It matches the Rfam family "tRNA". Rfam says of the family: Transfer RNA (tRNA) molecules are approximately 80 nucleotides in length. Their secondary structure includes four short double-helical elements and three loops (D, anti-codon, and T loops). The record is from Rfam by way of RNAcentral. Lineage: Eukaryota; Metazoa; Chordata; Mammalia; Rodentia; Heteromyidae.
GGGAAGGUGGCUCAGUGGUAGAGUGCUUGCCUUGCAUGCAUGAGGCAUUGUGUUCCAUUCCU